This 497-nucleotide ribosomal RNA is filed under the name uncultured bacterium. RNAcentral's name for it is "partial 16S ribosomal RNA". It matches the Rfam family "Bacterial small subunit ribosomal RNA", at positions 28 to 507 of the family's 1533-position model. The record is from RNAcentral.
GAUGAACGCUGGCGGCGUGCCUAAUACAUGCAAGUCGAGCGAACGGACGAGAAGCUUGCUUCUCUGAUGUUAGCGGCGGACGGGUGAGUAACACGUGGAUAACCUACCUAUAAGACUGGGAUAACUUCGGGAAACCGGAGCUAAUACCGGAUAAUAUUUUGAACCGCAUGGUUCAACAGUGAAAGACGGUCUUGCUGUCCCUUAUAGAUGGAUCCGCGCUGCAUUAGCUAGUUGGUAAGGUAACGGCUUACCAAGGCAACGAUGCAUAGCCGACCUGAGAGGGUGAUCGGCCACACUGGAACUGAGACACGGUCCAGACUCCUACGGGAGGCAGCAGUAGGGAAUCUUCCGCAAUGGGCGAAAGCCUGACGGAGCAACGCCGCGUGAGUGAUGAAGGUCUUCGGAUCGUAAAACUCUGUUAUUAGGGAAGAACAUAUGUGUAAGUAACUGUGCACAUCUUGACGGUACCUAAUCAGAAAGCCACGGCUAACUACGUG